AUGUUCUCUGUAGCUCUCCUGCUGCUGCUGGCUGCUGGAUCCUGUGUGAAGUGUGAACAGCUGACACAGCCAGCCUCGGUGACUGUGCAGCCAGGUCAACGUCUGACCAUCAGCUGCCAGGUAUCUUAUGAUAUGAGCAGCUAUGCAACUGACUGGAUCAGACAGCCUGCAGGGAAAGGACUGGAGUGGAUUGGGGGGAAAUAUACUGGAGGUUCAGACUACAAAGACUCACUGAAGAACAAGUUCAGUAUAGACUUAGACACUUCCAGUAAAACAGUGACUCUGAAUGGACAGAAUAUGCAGCCUGAGGACUCUGCUGUGUAUUACUGUGCCAGAGACCACAGUGACUCAAAUUAG
Non-coding RNA from Fundulus heteroclitus (mummichog), 357 nucleotides. The record is from the annotation of a RefSeq genome assembly. NCBI's taxonomy places the organism in Eukaryota, Metazoa, Chordata, Actinopteri, Cyprinodontiformes, Fundulidae.